Molecule: ribosomal RNA, 505 nt
Filed under: uncultured bacterium
Lineage: Bacteria
Description: partial 16S ribosomal RNA
Rfam family: Bacterial small subunit ribosomal RNA
Source: RNAcentral
GACGAACGCUGGCGGCGUGCCUAAUACAUGCAAGUAGAACGCACAGUUUAUACCGUAGCUUGCUACACCAUAGACUGUGAGUUGCGAACGGGUGAGUAACGCGUAGGUAACCUGCCUGGUAGCGGGGGAUAACUAUUGGAAACGAUAGCUAAUACCGCAUAAUAUUAAUUAUUGCAUGAUAAUUAAUUGAAAGGUGCAAUUGCACCACUACCAGAUGGACCUGCGUUGUAUUAGCUAGUAGGUGAGGUAACGGCUCACCUAGGCGACGAUACAUAGCCGACCUGGGAGGGUGGUCGGCCACACUGGGACUGGGACACGGCCCAGACUCCUACGGGAGGCAGCCGUAGGGGAUCUUCGGCAAUGGACGAAAGUCUGACCGAGCAACGCCGCGUGAGUGAAGAAGGUUUUCGGAUCGUAAAGCUCUGUUGUAAGAGAAGAACGGGUGUGAGAGUGGAAAGUUCACACUGUGACGGUAUCUUACCAGAAAGGGACGGCUAACUACGUG